AUACUUAACCUGGCAGGGGAGAUACCGUGAUCAUGCGUUGGUUUUCCAGGGUGAGGCUUAUCCAUUGCACUGCGGAUGUGCCCCAAAUAUGGGAAACUCAACUGCAUAAUUUGUGGUAGUGGGGAAAAAAAUAAAAAUAAAAAGCCCGUACAGGUAGGAAUUUGCCUGCCUUGUCCCUC
Molecule: small nuclear RNA, 179 nt
Filed under: Dasypus novemcinctus (nine-banded armadillo)
Lineage: Eukaryota; Metazoa; Chordata; Mammalia; Cingulata; Dasypodidae
Description: U1 spliceosomal RNA (ENSDNOG00000026074.1)
Rfam family: U1 spliceosomal RNA (bases 1-149)
About the family: U1 is a small nuclear RNA (snRNA) component of the spliceosome (involved in pre-mRNA splicing). Its 5' end forms complementary base pairs with the 5' splice junction, thus defining the 5' donor site of an intron. There are significant differences in sequence and secondary structure between metazoan and yeast U1 snRNAs, the latter being much longer (568 nucleotides as compared to 164 nucleotides in human).
Source: RNAcentral